AACUCUUAGCGGUGGAUCACUCGGCUCGUGUGUCGAUGAAGAACGCAGCUAGCUGCGAGAACUAAUGUGAAUUGCAGGACACAUUGAUCAUUGACACUUCGAACGCACUUUGCGGCCUGUCUGAGGGUUG
Ribosomal RNA from Oncorhynchus tshawytscha (Chinook salmon), 130 nucleotides. It matches the Rfam family "5.8S ribosomal RNA". From Rfam's summary of the family: 5.8S ribosomal RNA (5.8S rRNA) is a component of the large subunit of the eukaryotic ribosome. It is transcribed by RNA polymerase I as part of the 45S precursor that also contains 18S and 28S rRNA. The record is from Ensembl. Lineage: Eukaryota; Metazoa; Chordata; Actinopteri; Salmoniformes; Salmonidae.